This 460-nucleotide ribosomal RNA is filed under the name uncultured bacterium. RNAcentral describes it as "partial 16S ribosomal RNA". It matches the Rfam family "Bacterial small subunit ribosomal RNA", at positions 338 to 795 of the family's 1533-position model. The record is from RNAcentral.
CCUACGGGUGGCAGCAGUGAGGAAUAUUGGUCAAUGGGCGAGAGCCUGAACCAGCCAAGUCGCGUGAAGGAUGACGGCCCUACGGGUUGUAAACUUCUUUUGUCAGGGAGCAAUUGAGUCCACGUGUGGGCUUAGCGAGAGUACCUGAAGAAAAAGCAUCGGCUAACUCCGUGCCAGCAGCCGCGGUAAUACGGAGGAUGCGAGCGUUAUCCGGAUUUAUUGGGUUUAAAGGGUGCGUAGGCGGGACCUUAAGUCAGCGGUAAAAUUGCGGUGCUCAACGCCGUAGAGCCGUUGAAACUGGGGUUCUUGAGUGAGCGAGAAGUAUGCGGAAUGCGUGGUGUAGCGGUGAAAUGCAUAGAUAUCACGCAGAACCCCGAUUGCGAAGGCAGCAUACCGGCGCUCAACUGACGCUGAGGCACGAAAGUGCGGGUAUCGAACAGGAUUAGAUACCCCAGUAGUC